GACGAACGCUGGCGGCGUGCUUAACACAUGCAAGUCGAACGGAAAGGCCCUGCUUUUGUGGGGUGCUCGAGUGGCGAACGGGUGAGUAACACGUGAGUAACCUGCCCUUGACUUUGGGAUAACUUCAGGAAACUGGGGCUAAUACCGGAUAGGAUCUCCUGCUGCAUGGUGGGGGUUGGAUAGUUUCGGCGGUUGGGGAUGGACUCGCGGCUUAUCAGCUUGUUGGUGGGGUAGUGGCUUACCAAGGCUUUGACGGGUAGCCGGCCUGAGAGGGUGACCGGCGACAUUGGGACUGAGAUACGGACCAGACUCCAACGGGAGGCAGCAGGGGGGAAUAUUGCACAAUGGGCGGAAGCCUGAUGCAGCAACGCCGCGUGCGGGAUGACGGCCUUCGGGUUGUAAACCGAUUUCGCCUGUGACGAAGCGUGAGUGACGGUAAUGGGUAAAGAAGCACCGGCUAACUACGUG
Molecule: ribosomal RNA, 468 nt
Filed under: uncultured bacterium
Lineage: Bacteria
Description: partial 16S ribosomal RNA
Rfam family: Bacterial small subunit ribosomal RNA
Source: RNAcentral